This is a long non-coding RNA of Rattus norvegicus (Norway rat), 1277 nucleotides long. The record is from Ensembl. Lineage: Eukaryota; Metazoa; Chordata; Mammalia; Rodentia; Muridae.
AAACCAAAACAAGACGUGUCGGUUGGAAUUAUUUUUUCUUCACCCCGGUUCUCCAGAGUCUGGACCCUUCUCUCACUGUGCCCCCAGGACUGGGUCUUCUCUCACCUCAAAGCAUGCACGGGCAUCAGAUUCAUCUGCCAAGAACGCGUGCUCCUAACACAUCAUUUUCCUGCUGGAAAAAGCUUUGAUGAUUUGUUUGAAGAGUAAUUAGUUAGCUGGCACUUACAAGCAGGCAUCACUUACCUCUUGGACUCGCAUAUGCUCAAGUACUUCCUGACUCUGAGUGGCAGCCAUCUGAUGGCUUCUCUAAUCUUUGGCGUUCUUCUGUCUUAUUCCUCCCCAUAUGCUGUUGCGAAGGAUCCAGGGCUGGAACUAAACUCUGUUUCCUCUUUCUAUGUUAACUCCUUGUAGAAUUUAAGAACGAUGGGACUUAAAAGUUUCUUGCUAUGCUCGCCUGCCCUGCUGCUCCAACCCCCUGCCCUCCAGCCCCGCAUCCUGAACAUCUACUUGAAAUAAUGGAGUCUCCGUCCUGUGGCAUUUCUUGUUUUGUUUUCUCUUGAGACAGGUUUUGCUUAGGAGCCCAGACUUGCCUGGAACUUGCUGAAUAGCCAAGAUGGGCCUUGAAUUCACUGUUGCCAUGCCGCUGCCUCCCAAGUGAUGGGAGCACAGGACCCGGAUGCUUGCUUUCUUCUUCCUGCUGACCCUUCUGGACUGAGGUCUUCCUGCCUGACUCUCUGAGGAAGCCUGUUUCUACACAUUGGAUCCCGGCGGUGUGAGGCAUAGCAUAGCUGGGUUGCCAUGGCCCUGCUUGCCCCGCUGAUUAUUUCUCCUUAAUUGAGCGUAAAGAAUGUGUGGAAUGUGGAGAGACCGAGGGAAGAGGGCUGAGCAGCCCCUCAGGGAUGCGGAUUCUGGACUUUGAGAUGGGAAGAGUUGCGGAUAGCCUGCUGAACCCACAUAGACUGUGUUCAUUAUGGGUCCCCAUAUUCUUCUACACAGCAUGGCGGUGAGCCCGUGUCUCCAAGCCUUCUCUGUUCCUCACUCUCCUGUUGCCAGAGUGUUCUACGUUCAUGCCAGACUGGCUGUGACUGCCUCUCUUCCCAGUCAUCUUUCUUGAUUUAAACCCAUCUUGAUUUAAAUUCCUACUUUGCUUAUUUUGCUUAUUUUGUUUUCCAAGAUGGGGCUGUCCUGCAAUUACUAGCUUUCUAGACCAGGCUGGCCUUGAACUCACAGAGAUCCACCUGCCUCUGCUGGGAUUAAAGCCGUGCACCACCACUGUU